UGAAAAUGGAUGGCGCUGAAGCGUCGUGCUUAUACUCGGCCGUCAGCGGCAUGUGCGGUCCGGAUACGCUUCUCGCGUAUCGGCCAUGAAGCUCUGACGAGUAGGAGGGUCGCGGCGGUGAGCGCAGAAGGGCUGGCCGUGAGGCCGUCUGGAGCCGCCGUCGGUGCAGAUCUUGGUGGUAGUAGCAAAUACUCCAGCGAGGCCCUGGAGGACUGACGUGGAGAAGGGUUUCGUGUGAACAGCCGUUGCACACGAGUCAGUCGAUCCUAAGCCCUAGGCGAAAGCCGAUGUUGAUGUGGCGUUUUUUUAUUAGUUUGAACUAACGAUAAAAGAACACGCCCGUCGGGCGAAAGGGAAUCCGGUUCCUAUUCCGGAACCCGGCAGCGGAACCGUACAAUAGUCGGGCCCUCGCAAGAGAGUUCGUCGGGGCAACCCAAAAGGACCCGGAGACGCCGUCGGGAGAUCCGGGAAGAGUUUUCUUUUCUGCAUAAGCGUUCGAGUUCCAUGGAAUCCUCUAGCAGGGAGAUAUGGUUUGGAACGCGAAGAGCACCGCAGUUGCAGCGGUGUCCGGAUCUUCCCCUCGGACCUUGAAAAUCCGGGAGAGGGCCACGUGGAGGUGUCGCGCCGGUUCGUACCCAUAUCCGCAGCAGGUCUCCAAGGUGAAGAGCCUCUAGUCGA
Molecule: ribosomal RNA, 678 nt
Filed under: Amblycerus caymanensis
Lineage: Eukaryota; Metazoa; Arthropoda; Insecta; Coleoptera; Chrysomelidae
Description: eukaryotic LSU rRNA
Rfam family: Eukaryotic large subunit ribosomal RNA
Source: RNAcentral